GGGGACAUAGCUCAGCUGGGAGAGCAACAGACUGAAGUUACCGAGAGUUACUCUCGUCUUCUGGAGGUCCCCGGUUCAAUCCCGGGUGUCCCCA
This 94-nucleotide transfer RNA is filed under the name Armillaria gallica. It matches the Rfam family "tRNA". From Rfam's summary of the family: Transfer RNA (tRNA) molecules are approximately 80 nucleotides in length. Their secondary structure includes four short double-helical elements and three loops (D, anti-codon, and T loops). Further hydrogen bonds mediate the characteristic L-shaped molecular structure. tRNAs have two regions of fundamental functional importance: the anti-codon, which is responsible for specific mRNA codon recognition, and the 3' end, to which the tRNAs corresponding amino acid is attached (by aminoacyl-tRNA synthetases). tRNAs cope with the degeneracy of the genetic code in two manners: having more than one tRNA (with a specific anti-codon) for a particular amino acid; and 'wobble' base-pairing, i.e. permitting non-standard base-pairing at the 3rd anti-codon position. The record is from Rfam by way of RNAcentral. Lineage: Eukaryota; Fungi; Basidiomycota; Agaricomycetes; Agaricales; Physalacriaceae.